Molecule: ribosomal RNA, 283 nt
Filed under: unidentified marine bacterioplankton
Lineage: Bacteria
Description: partial 16S ribosomal RNA
Rfam family: Bacterial small subunit ribosomal RNA
Source: RNAcentral
UGCAAGUCGAACGAUGAAGUGGAGCUUGCUCCACGGAUUAGUGGCGAACGGGUGAGUAACACGUGAAUAACCUGCCCUCAAUUUCGGAAUAACCCAGGGAAACCUGGGCUAAUACCGGAUGCGUAAACCUGUGGCAUCACAUGGUUUUGGAAAGUUUUUCGAUUAAGGAUGGAUUCGCGGCCUAUCAGCUUGUUGGUGAGGUAAUGGCUCACCAAGGCGACGACAGGUAGCCGGCCUGAGAGGGUGAACGGCCACACUGGGACUGAGACACGGCCCAGACUCC